Molecule: ribosomal RNA, 323 nt
Filed under: uncultured eukaryote
Lineage: Eukaryota
Description: partial 18S ribosomal RNA
Rfam family: Eukaryotic small subunit ribosomal RNA
Source: RNAcentral
CCCUUAGAUGUUCUGGGCCGCACGCGCGCUACACUGAAGGGAUCAACGUGUUCUCCCUUUCCGAGAGGAACGGGUAACCCGCUGAACCCCCUUCGUGGUAGGGAUCGGGCUUGCAAUUAUUCCCCGUGAACCAGGAAUUCCCAGUAAGCGCAAGUCAUAAGCUUGCGUUGAUUACGUCCCUGCCCUUUGUACACACCGCCCGUCGCUACUACCGAUUGAACGUUUUAGUGAGGUAUUUGGAUCGGCGCUCCGGAGGUUCGCGCCUCCGUUGUGCUGAAAAGACUCCCAAACUUGAGCGUUUAGAGGAAGUAAAAGUCGUAACA